Molecule: ribosomal RNA, 253 nt
Filed under: uncultured bacterium
Lineage: Bacteria
Description: partial 16S ribosomal RNA
Rfam family: Bacterial small subunit ribosomal RNA
Source: RNAcentral
UACGUAGGGUGCGAGCGUUGUCCGGAAUUACUGGGCGUAAAGAGCUCGUAGGUGGUUUGUCGCGUUGUUCGUGAAAACCGGGGGCUUAACCCUCGGCGUGCGGACGAUACGGGCAGACUUGAGUACUGCAGGGGAGACUGGAAUUCCUGGUGUAGCGGUGGAAUGCGCAGAUAUCAGGAGGAACACCGGUGGCGAAGGCGGGUCUCUGGGCAGUAACUGACGCUGAGGAGCGAAAGCGUGGGGAGCGAACAGG